Long non-coding RNA from Oreochromis niloticus (Nile tilapia), 3950 nucleotides. RefSeq lists it as uncharacterized. The transcript has 2 exons. Lineage: Eukaryota; Metazoa; Chordata; Actinopteri; Cichliformes; Cichlidae. The record is from RefSeq and is a predicted model, not a curated record.
UGUUGUUGUGAUUUGGCGCUAUAUAAAUAAAAUUGAAUUGAAUUGAAAUGGAAAAAAAUUAAUAUUUUACUGCUGCUGCUGUUUUUGUCUUCAGAUCCUGUUGAUGUCUGAGGUAAUGAGGCAGAGCUAGAGAAAACACCUGAAAAGCCAUAACAGAUUAUUUGCUCAUGUCAGAAGAAUUCCAUCUUUAGCAUGUUUUAUUUAACUUUACAAGGCAAAGUAUUUUUUUGCAUCUUUUUGGAUUCUUUGACACCAGCGAAUUUGCAAUUGUGUGUAAACACCACCAUACAUCAGUCUUCAGGGGUUGUUGUUCAAAAUUGAUUUUAGUAUGCCCUGAUGUAACUAGUAUCUAAUAAAAGCAACGAGGUAGCCCCGUGAUGGACUAGCAACCUGUUCAUGGUGUUUUCUGCCUUCUGCCCUGUAACUGAAGGCAGUUCUGAGCAACAAUACACAGUAUGGUCAGUAAUCUUGUUUUGGACCUGACGAUUAAAAUUUUAAACAGAAAAACUUCCUUUUAUUUUUUAUUUACCCUUAGUGUAGUGGAUCAAACAUGAAGUAAAAGAAAACUAAAUCCUGAAAAGGAAAGAUUAGCAAUAAAUGGAUCUGAAGACCUCUGCAACCACUGCAAACAUGAUGUCAGACAUGAUCUCCCUGAUGUUGAUUUUAGACUAUGAUCCUUUUUCAUUGUUUUUAUUUUUUACUAACAGAACUGACCAAUGAUCAUAUUUAAAUAAUGUAACAUGUUUUAAAGUUAGAUAUUAACCCUCAUUUCACAAAACCCUGCACUUACUUUUAAAAGUAACGUACAGUAUAUGUGAAAUCUGUUUUUGUGAAAGUACAGAACACGUCAGAAAUCUUUUUGUAAACAAGACAGCAUAAGUAAAAGGUAUACAUCUACAGGUUGCAUAAGGUUUUGUGACACAUAUUAGGUCAUAUUCUGAGAAAUACAAGAUCAAUAACGCAGUUUCACAACACCGAGAGCAGGUCAAAGUUAACCUCUCAUACUUUCUCCAGAUAAUAUCAAUACCUUAAGUCAUAAUUCAUGCAGUGAGAUAACAAAGUGCUGUAAAACUGUUAAAUACACUUUUUGGCAUGCUGCUCAGAGAAUAGGGUUGUGCUCAUUAUGUAACCUGCAGGACUGCUGUGGUUAGGCAUUAAUUUUUGCACUCCCACAUACUAAUUGUGUUGCGUUGAAAAAUAACCAUUACGUGGACAGGUAGCAAAAAUGCUUGAAUAACAGCAAAACAAAACCGGUGAUAAUAGACCUGUUUGUUUUUCCAUAAGCUCUAAAUGCUCCUUUAACCCUUGUGACCUCUGGCAAGGCAGAUGGAGGCCAGAAAGCACAGCAAGCUGUUGUUGUAUUAAACAUGAUGAUGUCUAUAGACAUUGUCCUCUAAGUAUACUUCAGCUCACAUUCAACACAUCUCCAAGUGUUUAUGCUGGUGUAUGCAUCCGCGCACACACCAGCAUAAAAAUUACACUCUGUGUGCAGCUUUUCUGUGUCUCUCUCUUUUGAUACAUGUGUUUUUGACACUCAAUAGUCUGUUUGGUUGUCUUGUUUCGAUUUGCGCGUCAUGCCACUGAGCGAAGUCUGAAUAAUGGAACUGGCGGCGCGCUGGUGUCGGGUGAGACAGUGCCACCACAAAACUAGCCCGGCUGUUGUGUAAUCAUCAGGCUCACACACACGUGCCCCGUCUGUGUAUCACAAUACAUGGAACAGAUGGCGGGGAGGGUGUUAAAUAAACACAAAUACACACUCAUUAUCAGCUUGGGUUACAGACAGCUGCUGCCGCUCGUUCUGCCUUUGACAUAGAUGUCCUAUAAAAUCGCAUCCCGAUGAACACUUCACAUAGAAGGGUGAAAACCAAAUCACAGCAUGGCAACCAAACGAGUCAUUUCGGAUGCGGCGGGGUAUUGGGAGUGGACGGGUGGGGUUAAAUAAUGCGAGGGCUCAGCUUGUUCUAAUCACUCCCCUGAAUGGUACAUGCUAAAUCUAAAAUGCAAUCUGCCACAGCUGGCAAAGAGAUGAAAGGAACACAACAUUGUAAGUACAAUAGAUACAGUACAUCAGCACAUCAGUGAACGUGUACGUGCACAUUUGAGUCCAAAGACAUAAAUACAAGCACACAAAGACACUCAUAGCUAUACAGCGACUGAUCCUGGAAAAAGCAAAGCUUUAGGCCUGCAGUGCUUUUUCUUUCUGGCACUAAGCUCUUGUUCUGAUGCUGAGGAGCUCUUAACUUGACCAGCAUUAAUAGAUAGGCACUAAAUGCCCCACGUCUUCUAGAUUAUUUCAUAAUAUGUGGUGCAAAACUGUUGUGUAAAUGAUCAACUCCUUCCUACUUCAGCCAUGAGAGGAUAAGAUGUGAUAUGACACCCAUGACACAUAUUAAGUGUCAGAAAAGGAGGAAAAACAAAACAGCAGAACUUACAAUGAUUGCCUUAAUAUCCCUUGUCUUGUUUUGACUACCCACCCAAACCCCACCUCCCUGUGCCCCUAAAAAACACAAAACAAUAUUACAGAGAAGACUGGACCGGUGACUGUUUCCAAUUUCUGUUCAAUGAAUGACCUCAUUCUUUUCUCCACUACUCUAAAUCAAACACAGGCACCUAUGAGCACGUGGCACUUGUUUUGGAUCUGCUGCAUGUUUUAAACAGGACUCAUUUUAAUUUAUCUCAUCGCGCUGCUUUAGCUUGCCCCUUUCAAUCUUCCCAAAUGUUUGUGAACUUGUUAUAGUGAUUCAUAAAGGUCUGGCUAACUGAACUGCACAGCAAAACCAUCUGAUAAAUAACAUCCAAUGGUGUGUCAAUGCUAAACCAUUGAGUUUUAACCCUCACUCUGCAAUCUUUCACCAUCUCUGCCACCAGCUCUGAAUAUGACUCUUCCUUUGCCCGUCCUCACUAUAAAGUCAUGCCACCACUGCUGCACAACCAUACCAGUCGAUUAGCUCAAUGUCAGUGACUGUAACGGACUUUUGGACACAAUGCCCCCAUGGCGUUUGGUGCGCUAUUUCCCCACUGUCCCUACUCCAUCACAGUCACAUUGACUGAGCCAUCUGCACGGGCAGACACCAAAGGUCAACUUUCUGCAACAGCUCCCUCACUAAUGCCCUAGGUCUCUCUGCACUCAGAGCCCAAAGACAGUGGGGGCUAAAGCUUUAGUGCUGCUACAGCCAGUUCCUAGAGGGCCACCAGCUUCUCAGACCAACACCAUGUCCCGACAAGAUAUUUCCAUUAGGCACUGCAUUACCAUCACUCCGUCAAUUGCUUUCUCCAUGCACCUCAGGAAGUGGCUCUCUGUGGAGAAAGCACGGAGGACUUGCAAACACUUCUCCCUCCACCUUUCACAUCCCAGCAUGUGCUGGCCUGCAUUAGCACACUCGGAUGGGCCUGUUGCUGUGCAGUGGGGACAUGUGACAUUGAGAUAUCAGAGUUCUGCCACCCUGCCUCCACCCACCAUCCUCAUACACACACAUACAAACGGACAUUUUUCACGGACCUCUCUGGCCCUUCGUUCUCUAACCUACACCCAUCAAUUCUUGUUUUGCCCUUUGCAGGAGUCCAAGGGCGGAGCCUGCACGAGGUGAGGUGGCAAGUGCUACAUUUUUGACCUUCCACUUCAUGAGAUCGGCUUCAUUGACAUUCGGAUACAAGUCCUCGUUUCCACUGCCUCUCCCUUCCCCCACCACCAAGCCAGCUAUAAUGCCAAGCAUGUCGAAUCACUUUAGCAUCAAAAUACCAACAGUCAUCUCCCCCGUCCUCUCUCCCCUGCUAACUCCUUACCCCUCGCUUUCUCUCCCCCAACAACCCUGACUGUCCGUUUCCCUUUCUCUCCCCUCUGUUUAUCCUCCUCUGGGGGUGGAGGGGGACGCACAGAGUGGGAUGAUCUGUCGCUGCCACUGCCUUUCCAAAAUCCCAUUGACAAGGACAGAAGCAACUGACCAUAGUGA